Molecule: long non-coding RNA, 451 nt
Organism: Ylistrum balloti
Lineage: Eukaryota; Metazoa; Mollusca; Bivalvia; Pectinida; Pectinidae
Exons: 3
Source: RefSeq, a predicted model, not a curated record
CGCUUAAAGCAAAAUGUCGAGUACUCCACGGUUGCCGAUCCCCAGCAACAGAAAUCUGUUCCUAGGGAGAAUUAGAUCAAUGGUUAAAUAUGCUGUUAGCAAUAGAGGAAACUUUAUGAUGCGUCACAGCACAGGAGCUUUAGCAACAUAUGGAGGAACGGCAUUGGCUAUGGCAAUAUUUCUGUUUGAUUUCACACCUAUCCUGGGUCGUAUUCCCUACAUCAAAAAUUCUUAUCCACUACCUGAACCUGUAAAGGACAAGAAAUGAUGUGGUAUUGUACUCUAUUUAGAUGAAGAAUUGUGUAACUGUGGAAUUCAGUCUAGAGGAGGAUAUGUGUUACUUCAGGGAUUUUUGGUUGAGAACAUCAGAGACAAGUCCUUGGAAGUUUCUCAACUCUGGAACUGUUUUGUGAAUUGUUUUUCAGUUAAAAUUAAACUAGAAUAAAAUUCA